This 798-nucleotide ribosomal RNA is filed under the name Eleutherodactylus montanus (Dominican mountain robber frog). RNAcentral describes it as "partial 16S ribosomal RNA". It matches the Rfam family "Bacterial large subunit ribosomal RNA", at positions 1509 to 2528 of the family's 2925-position model. Lineage: Eukaryota; Metazoa; Chordata; Amphibia; Anura; Eleutherodactylidae. The record is from RNAcentral.
CGUCAAAGCUUAAUUAAUUCUUAUUCAAAUAAUUUCUUAAAAUUCUUAAAACCCCUCAACAGUACUGAAUGAUACUAUAUUUUUAUAGAACCCCUUAUGUUAAAACUAGUAACAAGAAAUCACCUUCUCUUAUUAUGCAAGUGUAAAUCAGAACAGAAUAUGCUACUGAUCCCUAACAGAUUUAAAUUAAAGUAGAAACCCGCCCAGAAAACUCUACUAAAACAACUGUUAAUCUUACACUAGAGUAUACAAAGAAAGAUUAAAAGAAAAAGAAGGAACUCGGCAAACCCUGAUUCCGCCUGUUUACCAAAAACAUCGCCUCCUGCUAACCUAUAGGAGGUCCAGCCUGCCCAGUGACCUAGUUUAACGGCCGCGGUAUCCUAACCGUGCGAAGGUAGCGUAAUCACCUGUUUUUUAAUUGAAGACCUGUAUGAAAGGCAUCACGAGAAUCACACUGUCUCCCUUUUCUAAUCAGUGAAACUAAUCUCCCCGUGAAAAAGCGGGGAUACCUACACAAGACGAGAAGACCCUAUGGAGCUUAAGACAAAGUAACAUUUUGCCCACUUCUUUAAUAUCUAUUUCCGACAGCAUUUAUUUACAAGUCUUUGGUUGGGGCAACCGCGGAGUAAAAAAUAACCUCCAAGAUGAACGGAAUUUUCCUAAACAAUAAGCCACAACUUUAUGUAUCAACAAAUUGACAUUAUGACCCAAUAUUUUGAUUAUCGAACCAAGUUACCCUAGGGAUAACAGCGCAAUCCACUUCAAGAGUUCAUAUCGACAAGUGGGCUUACGACCUCG